RNAcentral lists this long non-coding RNA (422 nucleotides) under Mytilus galloprovincialis (Mediterranean mussel). Lineage: Eukaryota; Metazoa; Mollusca; Bivalvia; Mytilida; Mytilidae. The record is from RNAcentral.
AUGGAAAGUUAUAUGUGUGGUAAUAUUGAAAAGGAAAAUAUCAAUGUAAAAAAUCAAAAUGUUCAGAAACGUGUUAUAUAUGAUGUAAAAAAUAUUCCGAAUAGUUGGUUUGAAGAUAAAAAUGUGAUUAAUAGUAUAAAUUCAUGUAUUAGAGAUAUAGAAAAAAGUAAUGGUGAUCAAGAUGAUGUAGAUAAUAUAUAAUUGUGAAUUUGUUAAUAUAAUGCAUAAUGAGAUGAAUUCGAAACUAAAUACAAAAACAAAACUUUUGAAUAGUUGUUACAAUAAAAGAAGACGUUUCAAGAAACCGUGGUGGUCCAAUGACUUGACUUCAAAGUGGAAUGAGACAUGUUCGGCCGAGAACCAGUAUCUGCGUUGUACGAACAAUAGCAAUAAAUCUGCAUUAAGAACUCUGUAUUUGAACA